This 487-nucleotide ribosomal RNA is filed under the name uncultured bacterium. RNAcentral describes it as "bacterial SSU rRNA". It matches the Rfam family "Bacterial small subunit ribosomal RNA", at positions 30 to 514 of the family's 1533-position model. The record is from RNAcentral.
AUUGAACGCUGGCGGCAUGCUUUACACAUGCAAGUCGAACGGCAGCACGGGUGCUUGCACCUGGUGGCGAGUGGCGGACGGGUGAGUAAUACAUCGGAACGUAUCCAGAAGAGGGGGAUAACGCAUCGAAAGAUGUGCUAAUACCGCAUAUUCUCUGAGGAGGAAAGCAGGGGCUCGCAAGACCUUGCGCUUUUGGAGCGGCCGAUGUCUGAUUAGCUAGUUGGUGGGGUAAAGGCCUACCAAGGCGACGAUCAGUAGUUGGUCUGAGAGGACGACCAGCCACACUGGGACUGAGACACGGCCCAGACUCCUACGGGAGGCAGCAGUGGGGAAUUUUGGACAAUGGGCGCAAGCCUGAUCCAGCCAUCCCGCGUGCAGGAUGACAGCCCUACGGGUUGUAAACUGCUUUUGUUAGGGAAGAAACCCUCGAUUUAUCGGGGGCUGACGGUACCUUUCGAAUAAGCACCGGCUAACUCCGUGCCAGCAG